GGUCUAAUCGCGAAUAUGACUCCGCACUUCCUGGUGUGUGGUGGAAAGCUUUUGCGGUGUGGGAUGGGCCCGCGGCCUAUCAGCUUGUUGGUGGGGUGAUGGCCUACCAAGGCGACGACGGGUAGCCGGCCUGAGAGGGUGACCGGCCACACUGGGACUGAGAUACGGCCCAGACUCCUACGGGAGGCAGCAGUGGGGAAUAUUGCACAAUGGGCGCAAGCCUGAUGCACCGACGCCGCGUGAGGGAUGACGGCCUUCGGGUUGUAAACCUCUUUCAAUAGGGACGAAGCGCAAGUGACGGUACCUAUAGAAGAAGGACCGGCCAACUACGUGCCAGCAGCCGCGGUAAUAC
This 352-nucleotide ribosomal RNA is filed under the name Mycobacterium sp. e. RNAcentral describes it as "bacterial SSU rRNA". It matches the Rfam family "Bacterial small subunit ribosomal RNA", at positions 160 to 526 of the family's 1533-position model. The record is from RNAcentral. Lineage: Bacteria; Bacillati; Actinomycetota; Actinomycetes; Mycobacteriales; Mycobacteriaceae.